CUCAAACAGAAGAUUUUUACUGCAGCACAAUACCCACUGCAAAGCAGCUCCUUGUGGAAUUUUCCUCUUGCAGAUUAUCUGAAUAGGCUGAGCCAUCAGUGGAAAGAGAGGCUGAGCAUCUCAAAAACAGAACAGCUGGGAGUAUGGAGCCAAUGUGACACUCAGGGGAAGCCAGCUGCCAUGUUGUGAGGAUUCUCAAGCAGCCCUGUGGCGAUGUCUUUGUAGCGAGGAACUGAGGCCUCCUGCCAACAGCCAUGGGAGUGAGCCAUCUUGGAAGCAGAUCCCUCAGCUCCAGUGAGAGCUUCACGCGUCGGCAGCUCUUCCUGAAGACUACAUGUCUAUAACUUGACUACAAUCUUGUGAGAGACCCUGAGCCACAGCCACCCAGCUAGGCUGCUUCCAGAGUCCCUACCUUCAGAAACUGGUGAGAAAAUACAUGUUUGUUGUUUUAAGCUGCUAAGUUUUGGGAUAUUGUGUUACACAGCAAUAGAUAACUAAUACAAUUUUUGACCCCUCCUCACAGUGAGCACAGUGAGGAAUUUCAAAAGGAUGCUUCUCAUGUUGACCUUCAGUUUAUGAUGAAUGCGAGUUGUGUGCAAAGUGAUCAGGGCUCAGGCAGACAUGAAAAAGACUUUGGGAGCUUACAAUUUCACAGGAGACAGACACACAGACCACCAAUGGUAAUGUGAGGAGGAAUGGAUGAGGCUAAAUGAAGGUAUAUGUAAUGAGCUCUGGGCACUGAGGAAGAAGCACUUAAUGUUGUCGCAGGUUCUAUGGAAGACGUGGCAUUUGGAUUGGUCUUGUAGGAUUGCAUAUUUAGGACUCCUUUUGGUUACAAAUGUAGAAACCCCUCUGUCUUAGAUAAAGUUCCCUAGGAAACAAACUCUGAGAUGAGGAUGUCAUGCAGGGAAUUUACUGGGGACUGUCCUGGGGGAUAGCACCCGUGAGACAGUGAUACAACCAAGAUCAGGCCCAGGGAGGUGUUAAACUGCAGCUUAGUUGCAACAGAGGCCCCUGUCAAUCUCAUGGGGAAAGUGGAUCUGCAACAGCUUUUCAGAAUGAUCUGGAAUUGGGAAAAGCGGUCUGGGCCUGUGUACCCCUGCACUGACCAGUCACCUGAUGUGAGCUGCUUCUGGGGAGGGAACAUGACCUUGGCAGAGAAAGGUUCAUUCAGCUAAGGGCAAUUGCUGGACCAUCAGUAGGCAGCAGUCAUGGCCUCUGACAGAGUGAGUGCCUCAGUCCUAAAGGGGGAUCAGCAUGGGGCACCACAGCAUUCAUUUGACCAGCUCACGCUAACUUAGGCAAUCAUCAUCGUCGUCAUCGUCAUCAUCAUCAU
RNAcentral lists this long non-coding RNA (1336 nucleotides) under Equus caballus (horse). RNAcentral's name for it is "lncRNA (ENSECAG00000034178.3)". Lineage: Eukaryota; Metazoa; Chordata; Mammalia; Perissodactyla; Equidae. The record is from RNAcentral.